Molecule: ribosomal RNA, 639 nt
Filed under: uncultured bacterium
Lineage: Bacteria
Description: bacterial SSU rRNA
Rfam family: Bacterial small subunit ribosomal RNA
Source: RNAcentral
CGCGGCCUAUCAGCUUGUUGGUGGGGUAAUGGCCUACCAAGGCGUCGACGGGUAGCUGGUCUGAGAGGAUGAUCAGCCACACUGGGACUGAGACACGGCCCAGACUCCUACGGGAGGCAGCAGUGGGGAAUCUUGCGCAAUGGGCGAAAGCCUGACGCAGCAACGCCGCGUGCGGGAAGAAGGCCUUCGGGUUGUAAACCGCUUUCAGCAGGAACGAAAAUGACGGUACCUGCAGAAGAAGGUGCGGCCAACUACGUGCCAGCAGCCGCGGUGACACGUAGGCACCAAGCGUUGUCCGGAUUUAUUGGGCGUAAAGAGCUCGUAGGCGGUUCAGUAAGUCGGGUGUGAAAACCCUGGGCUUAACCCAGAGCCGCCACCCGAUACUGCUGUGACUAGAGUCCGGUAGGGGAGUGGGGAAUUCCUAGUGUAGCGGUGAAAUGCGCAGAUAUUAAGAGGAACACCGGUGGCGAAGGCGCCACUCUGGGCCGGAACUGACGCUGAGGAGCGAAAGCGUGGGUAGCAAACAGGAUUAGAUACCCUGGUAGUCCACGCCGUAUACGUUGGGCACUAGGUGUGGGCCUCAACCAACGAGGUCCGUGCCGUCGCUAACGCAUUAAGUGCCCCGCCUGGGGAGUACGG